Long non-coding RNA from Oncorhynchus keta (chum salmon), 250 nucleotides. RefSeq lists it as uncharacterized. Lineage: Eukaryota; Metazoa; Chordata; Actinopteri; Salmoniformes; Salmonidae. The transcript has 3 exons. The record is from RefSeq and is a predicted model, not a curated record.
CAGGUAAACAACAGGUAAACAACAGGUGAACAACAGGUGAACAACAGGUAAACAACAGGUAAACAACAGGUGAACAACAGGUGAACAACAGGUGAACAACAGGUAAACAACAGGUAAACAACAGGUAAACAACAGGUGAACAACAGGUGAACAACAGGUGAACAACAGGUAAACAACAGGUGAACAACAGGUGAACAACAGGUGAACAACAGGUGAACAACAGGUGAACAACAGGUAAACAACAGGUAAA